UUUCUGUGGGGGCGGAGCGGCCGGCCGCAACUCGCGGUUCGAGCUAGCGCUUCCCCUACAUCCUGCCGCGAACCGUGCUACCAUUAGUUUGGUGGCGCCGGGGAUCGGCUCGUUUACUUUGAGAAAAAUAGAGUGUUCAAAGCAGGCCACACGCCUUGAAUAAGUUAGCAUGGAAUAAUAAUAAAGGACUUCGGCUCUAUUUUGUUGGUGUUCGGGACUGAAGUAAUGAUUGAUAGGGACAGUUGGGGCGGUCAGUAUUCCAAAGCGAGAGGUGAAAUUCUUAGACCUUCGGAAGACUAACAGCUGCGAAAGCGUUCCGCAAGGAUGUUCCCUUUGAUCAAGAACGAAAGUUGGGGGAUCGAAGACGAUCAGAUACCGUCGUAGUCUCAACUAUAAACUAUACCAGCUAGGGAUCGGCCAACGUUAAAUUAUUCGACUUGGUCGGCACCUUAUGAGAAAUCAAAGCAUCUGGGUUCCGGGGGGAGUAUGGUCGCAAGGCUGAAACUUAAAGGAAUUGACGGAAGGGCACCACCAGCCGUGGAGCCUGUGGCUUAAUUUGACUCAACACGGGAAAACUUACCAGGUCCAGACAUAGUAAGGAUUGACAGAUUGAUAGCUCUUUCUUGAUUCUGUGGGUGGUGGUGCAUGGCCGUUCUUAGUUGGUGGAGUGAUUUGUCUGGUUAAUUCCGUUAACGAACGAGACCCCAGCCUGCUAAAUAGCGCGGUUGAGCUUUGCUCGGCGCGAGCUUCUUAGAGGGACUAUGAUGCGCGAUAGCACAUGGAAGUUUGGGGCAAUAACAGGUCUGUGAUGCCCUUAGAUGUUCUGGGCCGCACACGGGCUACACUGGCGCCUGCAACGAGCAUAUCAGCUGGCCCGAGAGGGUCUUGGCUAAUCUUUUGAACCGGCGCCGUGCUUGGGAUUGACCAUUGCAAUUGUUGGUCAUGCAACGAGGAAUGCCUUGUAAACGCGAGUCAUCAACUCGCAUUGAAUACGUCCCUGCCCUUUGUACACACCGCCCGUCGCUCUACCGAUGAUGUCCGAUGAAAUUUUCG
Molecule: ribosomal RNA, 1053 nt
Filed under: uncultured eukaryote
Lineage: Eukaryota
Description: SSU rRNA
Rfam family: Eukaryotic small subunit ribosomal RNA
Source: RNAcentral